RNAcentral lists this ribosomal RNA (529 nucleotides) under Bifidobacterium pseudocatenulatum. RNAcentral describes it as "bacterial SSU rRNA". It matches the Rfam family "Bacterial small subunit ribosomal RNA", at positions 162 to 703 of the family's 1533-position model. Lineage: Bacteria; Bacillati; Actinomycetota; Actinomycetes; Bifidobacteriales; Bifidobacteriaceae. The record is from RNAcentral.
GGUAAUGCCGGAUGCUCCGACUCCUCGCAUGGGGUGUCGGGAAAGAUUAUAUCGGUAUGGGAUGGGGUCGCGUCCUAUCAGGUAGUCGGCGGGGUAACGGCCCACCGAGCCUACGACGGGUAGCCGGCCUGAGAGGGCGACCGGCCACAUUGGGACUGAGAUACGGCCCAGACUCCUACGGGAGGCAGCAGUGGGGAAUAUUGCACAAUGGGCGCAAGCCUGAUGCAGCGACGCCGCGUGCGGGAUGACGGCCUUCGGGUUGUAAACCGCUUUUGAUCGGGAGCAAGCCUUCGGGUGAGUGUACCUUUCGAAUAAGCACCGGCUAACUACGUGCCAGCAGCCGCGGUAAUACGUAGGGUGCAAGCGUUAUCCGGAAUUAUUGGGCGUAAAGGGCUCGUAGGCGGUUCGUCGCGUCCGGUGUGAAAGUCCAUCGCUUAACGGUGGAUCUGCGCCGGGUACGGGCGGGCUGGAGUGCGGUAGGGGAGACUGGAAUUCCCGGUGUAACGGUGGAAUGUGUAGAUAUCGGAAA